GGAGGAGUACGGAAGCGGCUGUAACCGAGCUGCCUGCUAAGCAGUUGUGGGCGAAAGUCCACCGUGGGUUCGAAUCCCACCUCCUCCGCCA
This 91-nucleotide transfer RNA is filed under the name Candidatus Poribacteria bacterium. RNAcentral's name for it is "tRNA-Ser". It matches the Rfam family "tRNA". From Rfam's summary of the family: Transfer RNA (tRNA) molecules are approximately 80 nucleotides in length. Their secondary structure includes four short double-helical elements and three loops (D, anti-codon, and T loops). Lineage: Bacteria; Candidatus Poribacteria. The record is from RNAcentral.